CCUACGGGUGGCAGCAGUGGGGAAUUUUGGACAAUGGGGGCAACCCUGAUCCAGCCAUGCCGCGUGCGGGAAGAAGGCCUUCGGGUUGUAAACCGCUUUUGUCAGGGAAGAAAUCUUCCGAGCUAAUACCUUGGGAGGAUUACGGUACCUGAAGAAUAAGCACCGGCUAACUACGUGCCAGCAGCCGCGGUAAUACGUAGGGUGCAAGCGUUGCUCGGAAUUACUGGACGCGGUGCGUGAGCAGGGGGUUGAAAUCCCCGGGCUUAACCUGGGAACUGAACUUGUGACUGUACGGCUGGAGUACGGCAGAGGGGGAUGGAAUUCCGCGUGUAGCAGUGAAAUGCGUAGAUAUGCGGAGGAACACCGAUGGCGAAGGCAGUCCCCUGGGCCUGUACUGACGCUCAUGCACGAAAGCGUGGGGAGCAAACAGGAUUAGAUACCCCUGUAGUC
RNAcentral lists this ribosomal RNA (450 nucleotides) under uncultured bacterium. RNAcentral describes it as "partial 16S ribosomal RNA". It matches the Rfam family "Bacterial small subunit ribosomal RNA", at positions 338 to 795 of the family's 1533-position model. The record is from RNAcentral.